RNAcentral lists this ribosomal RNA (370 nucleotides) under Bacillus sp. EJP70. RNAcentral describes it as "bacterial SSU rRNA". It matches the Rfam family "Bacterial small subunit ribosomal RNA", at positions 1031 to 1400 of the family's 1533-position model. Lineage: Bacteria; Bacillati; Bacillota; Bacilli; Caryophanales; Bacillaceae. The record is from RNAcentral.
AAGACAGGUGGUGCAUGGUUGUCGUCAGCUCGUGUCGUGAGAUGUUGGGUUAAGUCCCGCAACGAGCGCAACCCUUAUAUUUAGUUGCCAGCACUUCGGGUGGGCACUCUAGAUAGACUGCCGGUGACAAACCGGAGGAAGGUGGGGAUGACGUCAAAUCAUCAUGCCCCUUAUGACCUGGGCUACACACGUACUACAAUGGCCGGUACAACGGGCUGCGAAAUCGCGAGAUGGAGCCAAUCCCAACAAAGCCGGUCUCAGUUCGGAUUGCAGGCUGCAACUCGCCUGCAUGAAGUCGGAAUUGCUAGUAAUCGCGGAUCAGCAUGCCGCGGUGAAUACGUUCCCGGGUCUUGUACACACCGCCCGUCAC